RNAcentral lists this small RNA (294 nucleotides) under Exophiala oligosperma. RNAcentral's name for it is "5' ureB small RNA". It matches the Rfam family "5' ureB small RNA". Lineage: Eukaryota; Fungi; Ascomycota; Eurotiomycetes; Chaetothyriales; Herpotrichiellaceae. The record is from Rfam by way of RNAcentral.
CUCGUACGCCUGCUGCGGACAGAUCAGGUGAAUGUGCGAGUCGAAACCGCCGGCAGUCACGAUCAGGCCUUCUCCGGCGACGACGUCGGUACCGUUCCCGACGAUGAGGUCCUUGUGCACGCCCGCCAUGACGUCGGGAUUUCCUGCUUUGCCGAUACCCUUGAUCACGCCGUGCUUGAUGCCGAUGUCCGCCUUGUAGAUGCCCGUCCAGUCGAUGAUGAGGGCGUUCGUGAUGACGGUGUCGAGAACCUCCUCGUCGCGUCGAUCGCUAGCUUGACCCAUACCCUCGCGGAG